Molecule: ribosomal RNA, 440 nt
Filed under: uncultured bacterium
Lineage: Bacteria
Description: partial 16S ribosomal RNA
Rfam family: Bacterial small subunit ribosomal RNA
Source: RNAcentral
CCUACGGGAGGCAGCAGUGGGGAAUAUUGCACAAUGGGGGAAACCCUGAUGCAGCGACGUCGCGUGAGUGAUGAAGGAUUUCGGUAUGUAAAGCUCUAUCAGCAGGGAAGUAAAUGACGGUACCUGACUAAGAAGCCCCGGCUAACUACGUGCCAGCAGCCGGGGUAAUACGUAGGGGGCAAGCGUUAUCCGGAUUUUGUGGGUGUAAAGGGGGCGUAGGCGGCGGUGCAAGCCAGAGGUGAAAGGCCGGGGUCCAACCCCGGGACUGCAUUUGGAACUGGACUGUUAGAGUGUCUGAGAGGCAGGCGGAAUUCCUAGGGUAGCGGUGAAAUGCGUAGAUAUUAGGAGGAACACCAGUGGCGAAGGCGGCCUGCUGGACGAUGACUGACGUUGAGGCUCGAAAGCGUGGGGAGCAAACAGGAUUAGAUACCCGGGUAGUC